GGGUAUGAGCUCACCAAGCCGACGAUCCUUAGGGGUUCUGAGAGGAUUAUCCCCCACACUGGUACUGAGACACGGACCAGACUCCUACGGGAGGCAGCAGUGAGGAAUAUUGGUCAAUGGACGCAAGUCUGAACCAGCCAUCCCGCGUGCAGGAUGACGGCCCUAUGGGUUGUAAACUGCUUUUAUAUACCAAGAAACGCUUUUACGUGUAGAAGUUUGACGGUAGUAUAUGAAUAAGGACCGGCUAACUCCGUGCCAGCAGCCGCGGUAUACGGAGGGUCCAAGCGUUAUCCGGAUUCAUUGGGCUUAAAGGGUGCGCAGGCGGAACUUUAAGUCAGUGGUGAAAUCUUGCCGCUUAACGGUAAAAUUGCCAUUGAUACUGAAGUUCUUGAAUAUGGUUGAGGUAGGCGGAAUGUGUUGUGUAGCGGUGAAAUGCAUAGAUAUGACACAGAACGCCGAUAGCGAAGGCAGCUUACUAAGCCAUUAUUGACGCUGAGGCACGAAAGCGUGGGGAGCGAACAGGAUUAGAUACCCUGGUAGUCCACGCCGUAAACGAUGUUCACUCGCUGUCUGCGAUACACAGUAGGCGGCUUAGCAAAGCAUUAAGUGAACCACCUGGGGAGUACGAUCGCAAGGUUGAAACUCAAAGGAAUUGACGGGGGCCCGCACAAGCGGAGGAACAUGUGGUUUAAUUCGAUGAUACGCGAGGAACCUUACCUGGGCUUAAAUGUAGAUUGCAUAGAUUAGAGAUAGUCUUUUUCUUCGGAACUAUUUACAAGGUGCUGCAUGGUUGUCGUCAGCUCGUGCCGUGAGGUGUCGGGUUAAGUCCCAUAACGAGCGCAACCCCUAUCGUUAGUUGCUAGCAGGUAAUGCUGAGGACUCUAGCGAGACUGCCACCGUAAGGUGAGAGGAAGGUGGGGAUGACGUCAAAUCAGCACGGCCCUUAUGCCCAGGGCUACACACGUGUUACAAUGGUCGGUACAAAGGGCAGCUACUUGGUGACAAGAUGCUAAUCCCUAAAGCCGAUCCCAGUUCGGAUUGGAGUCUGCAACCCGACUCCAUGAAGUUGGAUUCGCUAGUAAUCGGAUAUCAGCCAUGAUCCGGUGAAUACGUUCCCGGGCCUUGUACACACCGCCCGUCAAACCAUGGAAGCUGGGGGUGCCUGAAGUCUGUGACCGUAAGGAGCGGCCUAGGGUAAAACUAGUAACUAGGGUUAAGUC
RNAcentral lists this ribosomal RNA (1220 nucleotides) under metagenome. RNAcentral's name for it is "bacterial SSU rRNA". It matches the Rfam family "Bacterial small subunit ribosomal RNA", at positions 255 to 1487 of the family's 1533-position model. The record is from RNAcentral.